UGCUUUUCUAGCAAUAGUGAAUAAGUCUCAUGAGAUCUAAUGGUUGUAAAAAGGGGAGUUCUCCUGCAUAAACUCUCUCUUUGUAGGAGCUAAGAUUGCAAGAUCAGGGAGAGAGCAGGGCCAAACUAUAUCCGGCUUUGUAGGCCUUGGUGAGGACUUCUAUUCUCAUUCUGAAUGAGAAAGGAAGUCAACAGAAACUUUUUAACCAAGUGGCAAUAUGAUCUGAUUUGCAUUUUACGAGGAUCUCAUUGACCACCACAUAAAAAAAAGGCUCUAGAAAACCAAGGACAAAAGCAGGAAGAACCUUCACAAGACCAGUGCAACAAUCCAGCACAGGCAAUGAAAGUAAAAAUAAACGG
This 359-nucleotide long non-coding RNA is filed under the name Homo sapiens (human). RNAcentral's name for it is "HSALNT0057158". The record is from RNAcentral. Lineage: Eukaryota; Metazoa; Chordata; Mammalia; Primates; Hominidae.